RNAcentral lists this ribosomal RNA (505 nucleotides) under uncultured bacterium. Its description in RNAcentral is "partial 16S ribosomal RNA". It matches the Rfam family "Bacterial small subunit ribosomal RNA", at positions 28 to 507 of the family's 1533-position model. The record is from RNAcentral.
GACGAACGCUGGCGGCGUGCCUAAUACAUGCAAGUAGAACGCACAGUUUAUACCGUAGCUUGCUACGCCAUAGACUGUGAGUUGCGAACGGGUGAGUAACGCGUAGGUAACCUGCCUGGUAGCGGGGGAUAACUAUUGGAAACGAUAGCUAAUACCGCAUAAUAUUAAUUAUUGCAUGAUAAUUAAUUGAAAGGUGCAAUUGCACCACUACCAGAUGGACCUGCGUUGUAUUAGCUAGUAGGUGAGGUAACGGCUCACCUAGGCGACGAUACAUAGCCGACCUGAGAGGGUGAUCGGCCACACUGGGACUGAGACACGGCCCAGACUCCUACGGGAGGCAGCAGUAGGGAAUCUUCGGCAAUGGACGAAAGUCUGACCGAGCAACGCCGCGUGAGUGAAGAAGGUUUUCGGAUCGUAAAGCUCUGUUGUAAGAGAAGAACGGGUGUGAGAGUGGAAAGUUCACACUGUGGCGGUAUCUUACCAGAAAGGGACGGCUAACUACGUG